GCGGUCCCUCUGUAAACCAUUCUGCAUCCCCCGGCUGGGGAGAGUGCCGGGAGACCGCGUUUAGAGGAUCAGUGGCGGCGGCAACCGCGGCCCGGCGCGGUGCGGGCGGCGGGCAGCGAGGUGCCCGGGUCCCCUGCUGCUCCGAUGAGGAAACUGGGGCCACGGAGAGGUUGUGUAGCUUGCCUCAGGGCACACAGCUAAGAAGAGGAGGUGGUGGGAUUUGAACUCAGGCAGUCUGGCUGAUCACAAGGAUCCCGAGGGCUGUGGGUGAAAGGACUCGUGAAGUGGUUGUCUUUUCGUCUGGACAGAAGACCUAAAAAAACAUUUCUCCAAAGAAGAUACACAGAUUACCAACAAACACAUGAAAGGAUGCUCAACAUCACUAAUCACUAGAGAAAUUCAAAUCAAAACUACAAUCAUCUCACACCGGUCAGAAUGGCCAUCAUCAAAAAAUCUACAAACAAUAAAAUGCUGGAGAGGGUGUGGAGAAAAGGGAACCCUCUUGCACUGUUGGUGGGAAUGUAAAUUGAUACAGCCACUAUGGAGAACAGUAUGGAGUUUCCUUAAAAAACUAAAAAUAGAACUACCAUAUGACCCAGCAAUCCCACUACUAGGCAUAUACCCUGAGAAGACCAUAAUUCAAAAAGAGUCAUGUACCGCAAUGUUCAUUGCAGCACUGUUUACAAUAGCCAGGACGUGGAAGCAACCUAAAUGUCCAUCGACAGAUGAAUGGAUAAAGAAGAUGUGGCACAUGUAUACAAUGGAAUAUUACUCAGCCAUAAAAAGGAACGAAACUGAGUUAUUUGUACUGAGGUGGAUGGACCUAGAGUCUGUCAUACAGAGUGAAGUAAGUCAGAAAGAGAAAAACAAAUACCGUAUGCUAAUACAUAUAUAUGGAAUCUAAGAAAAAAAAAAAAGGUUCUGAAGAACCUAGGGGCAGGACAGGAAUAAAGGCGUAGACGUAGAGAAUGGACUUGAGGACAUGGGGAGGGGGAAGGGUAAGCUGGGACAAAGUGAGAGAGUGGCAUGGACAUAUAUACACUACCAAACGUAAAAUAGAUAGCUAGUGGGAAGC
Long non-coding RNA from Balaenoptera acutorostrata (minke whale), 1075 nucleotides. RefSeq lists it as uncharacterized. The record is from RefSeq and is a predicted model, not a curated record. Lineage: Eukaryota; Metazoa; Chordata; Mammalia; Artiodactyla; Balaenopteridae. The transcript has 3 exons.